GCCCCUUCAAGAGCUAAGCCAAUGAGUGCCGGAGAUAAGCGCCGGGUGGGGCG
Molecule: small RNA, 53 nt
Filed under: Klebsiella ornithinolytica
Lineage: Bacteria; Pseudomonadati; Pseudomonadota; Gammaproteobacteria; Enterobacterales; Enterobacteriaceae
Description: rydB RNA
Rfam family: rydB RNA
About the family: This family consists of several bacterial sequences from E. coli, Shigella flexneri and Salmonella species. This RNA gene was discovered by an RNA screen between the ydiC and ydiH in E. coli. This gene is only 67 bases in length and is composed of a hairpin like structure.
Source: RNAcentral